GCCAACGGCCAUAUCACUCUGCAACUCACAACUGCCAACCCAUUGAAGCUAAGCAAGUGUGAGCCUGGUCAGUACCUGUAUGGGAGACCUCCUAGGAAAAACUAAGGUUGCUGUUGGAA
RNAcentral lists this ribosomal RNA (119 nucleotides) under Lepisosteus oculatus (spotted gar). The record is from RNAcentral. Lineage: Eukaryota; Metazoa; Chordata; Actinopteri; Semionotiformes; Lepisosteidae.